This 379-nucleotide ribosomal RNA is filed under the name uncultured eukaryote. RNAcentral describes it as "partial 18S ribosomal RNA". It matches the Rfam family "Eukaryotic small subunit ribosomal RNA", at positions 592 to 976 of the family's 1831-position model. The record is from RNAcentral.
CAAUAGCGUAUAUUAAAGUUGUUGCGGUAAAAAAGCUCGUAGUUGGAUUUCUGUUGAGAGCGACCGGUCCAUACCAUGUAUGCGUAUCUGGCUUGCUCUCGGCAUCCUCUCGAUAGACGUUACUGCGCUUGAUUGCGUGGUGCGGAUCUCGGGACUUUUACUUUGAGGAAAUUAGAGUGUUCACGGCAGGCUUUCGCCAGAAUACAUUAGCAUGUAAUAAUACUAUAGGAUCUUGGUUCUAUUUUGUUGGUUUCUAGAAUUGAGAUAAUGAUUAAUAGGGACAAUUGGGGGCAUUCGUAUCAACACGUCAGAGGUGGAAUUCUUGGAUUGUGCUGCGACGAACUACUGCGAAAGCAUUUGCCAAGGAUGUUUUCAUUGA